RNAcentral lists this signal recognition particle RNA (99 nucleotides) under Oscillospiraceae bacterium. RNAcentral describes it as "signal recognition particle sRNA small type". It matches the Rfam family "Bacterial small signal recognition particle RNA". Rfam says of the family: The signal recognition particle (SRP) is a universally conserved ribonucleoprotein involved in the co-translational targeting of proteins to membranes. Archaeal SRP consists of a 7S RNA and homologues of the eukaryotic SRP19 and SRP54 proteins. In most bacteria, the SRP consists of a 4.5S RNA and the Ffh protein (a homologue of the eukaryotic SRP54 protein). Lineage: Bacteria; Bacillati; Bacillota; Clostridia; Eubacteriales; Oscillospiraceae. The record is from RNAcentral.
GUGCGGGCCCUGUGCAACAAAACACCGUGAACCAUGUCAGGCGGGGAACCGAGCAGCAUUAAGCGGUCAGUUUCGUGUGCCGCAGCGAGCCUGCACACC